Molecule: ribosomal RNA, 252 nt
Filed under: uncultured bacterium
Lineage: Bacteria
Description: partial 16S ribosomal RNA
Rfam family: Bacterial small subunit ribosomal RNA
Source: RNAcentral
UACGUAGGUGGCGAGCGUUGUCCGGAAUUAUUGGGCGUAAAGCGCGCGCAGGCGGCUGUUUAAGUCUGGUGUUUAAUCCCGGGGCUCAACCCCGGGUCGCACUGGAAACUGGACGGCUUGAGUGCAGAAGAGGAGAGUGGAAUUCCACGUGUAGCGGUGAAAUGCGUAGAGAUGUGGAGGAACACCGGUGGCGAAGGCGGCUCACUGGCCCGUAACUGACGCUCAGGCGCGAUAGCGUGGGGAUCAAACAGG